GCUCUGAAGAACAGCUUUGCAGCCCGCAGUUCGAGCUCCGGGGCUGGCGCCCGGCCUCUCUCCGGUGGACCUGCGGGGCUGUAAGUUGAGGGGAUCUCAUGCUGCAGUGGCGAUAUCAGCCAUGCUUCCAGAAUCUUCUGUUCAUUGUCAACCGUCGGAAAUAAUGAAAGGAUUGCUGAAGUUGGUGUCCUUUGAUGAGGUGGCUGUGGAUUUCAGCUGGGAGGAAUGGCAGGACCUGGAUAUUUCUCAGAGGACCCUGUAUAGAGAUGUAAUGCUAGAGACCUACAGCAACCUGGUAUCCUUAGGUCACUGUGUUCCUAAACCUAAGUUGAUUGUCAAGCUGGA
Long non-coding RNA from Dipodomys spectabilis (banner-tailed kangaroo rat), 345 nucleotides. RefSeq lists it as uncharacterized. The record is from RefSeq and is a predicted model, not a curated record. The transcript has 4 exons. Lineage: Eukaryota; Metazoa; Chordata; Mammalia; Rodentia; Heteromyidae.